AAGUAAUAAUGAGCAAGUUUGCAGUUUGAUUUCGACUCAAAAAAUGAAUAUAGUAGUGUAAUCACAUC
This 68-nucleotide transfer RNA is filed under the name Cheiracanthium insigne. Its description in RNAcentral is "tRNA-Arg". The record is from RNAcentral. Lineage: Eukaryota; Metazoa; Arthropoda; Arachnida; Araneae; Cheiracanthiidae.